AACAUUAACACCCAGCAACCAGGAGAGGAGAGAGGCCUGGGGAAGACAGCCACCACCAAGUACACAAAGGUUGAAAGAGGACGUUUGUGGGAAGUAGACAUUUGUGAAUGUGGAUUUAGAAGAUUUUUCCCUGUGAUGAGCUGAGUCAUGGGUGAGAGCUGGAGAAAACAGAGUCCUGUGAAGAGGUGCCUUCCACGAUGAUUGUAAGUUUCCUGAGGCCUCCCCAGCCAUGCAGAACUGGCCAGCUGGCUGGCAGAUCACACAACUGCCUUUGUGGACCCGUGGCCUGGAUUGCAGAUGGACAAGAAGUGAAGCAUCUGAGCAAUGCAGAGAGACACUGGGCCUCAGAGACACUUCAGCCACUGGCGACAUGAUUCCUCACCCAUCUGCUCUUCGACACAGCUGCUGGGGGUGCUACUGCCAUGGCGUCAGCCAUUUGGCAGCUGAGCACAGAGUCUUGGAAAGAACGACAACCUUUGCAAUUGUCUGGUAGUCCUAGCCAUGCUGUACCCCUGAGCUUUUAACUUGAAUAUCACUUGUGGGUAAAACAAAGGACAAGCAUGCUCAAGUCAUGUCAGAAACUGAGCCUCCAAGUAGUGUUGAUGCUUUACUUAGAUUUAACACCUUGGACUUGAAUCUAGAGUCUUUUGUUCCUUAAAGAAAGUAUGAAAGUAGUUUCUUUUUCACCUGCAGGAGUACAAACAAAAUUACAAAUAGAGAAGCAAGCUGGUGAUGUUUGUAUUCUGGUUUGUAUUCCUUGGUGAUUUUUAACUAAGGCAAAUAAUAUGGAAUGAUUUGUAGCACUUUGAGACUGAUUUAAGUUAUAAUGUCUGUGAAUCUGUAAUAGAAAUAAACUAAAUUGAAAAAGAAAAGUAAUGAUUAUCAUUUGUCUUUUAUUUUCUUAGACCUACCAAAGCUAUCCCUCUCUUUUGGAAAAAACAAAACAAAGCAUGUAUUGAAUCCCUGCUAAUAUUUUGGAACUGAAUUAUUGCAUUUGGGAGAAAAGCAUUAUAUUAUUUUAUUUUUUCAUCUUUGCCAGCAAUGGUAACUUGCUCCUUGACAGUGUGUCUUAAAAAGAAAUAUCCACAGGCAUAAUGCAUGAUUAAAAAUGCACCUAACAUUUUACACAUUUGAUAAAUAUUAAGGUCAGGAAAUCAAUAUUUUGCGGCACUUGGUAUUACCCCUUGUGCCUUUUUAUAGAAACUUCUUCCUUUGUUUUUAUGAUACCGAAACAACAUUGUUGCCUCUAAUAUAUCAUGUCCUCCUUGCUUUCCUUCACAUGCACAUUUUAAUCUGUACUUUUCUUAAAUAGGGGGGUUCUAAAAAACUCCAUCUGUUCUAUCUCCAUUUGUUUUCAUACUAUACAAUCUCCCUCAGUAAUUCCUUCUUGUGCCGUUGGCUACAUCUUUCAAGUAUACCUAGUAACUUCCUUAUUUACACCUUCAGCCCAGGUCUUUCUCCCGAGUUUCAGAUGUAUCCACACAGCUGAAGAGUCCCUCCUCCUGUAGCUUGCUCCCUAAGUCUAAAGUUGAACUGGCUCCCAAAACUGAGGCUGCUUCUUCAGUCUGCACACAAGUGACUGGUCCUGCCUGGCUAUCUCUCUAAGCCUCAUCUUUAUUUCUCACAUUACCUUGACUUGUCCAUUUGCCAUUUCUUGAACCUGUUUCCAUCUCACCAGUCCUACAGUGAAGCCUCUGGUUUAGCCUUCUUCUAUUUGUUACUUGAAUUGUGCAGUCCUAUCUUAACUGUCCUAUCUAUGUAUCUCUAGAAUGCCUCCUCUCCAAUUCAUUAUCGCAGUAAUUCCAGAAUUAUUCCAAACAUGAUCAUAUUUUUUUGCUCCACAAAAAUCUUACAAGGAUUCUGCGUUGCCCAGGGGAUAAAUUUUCACCCCCAAGAUUUGUAGGAAAGGCCUUUCAUGAUUUAAUCCAUAGCUAUUUCUCUCAACUUGUCUCUUAUCACUUCACAACUAACAUCUAAUGUUCUAGGCAUACUAAAGUUCCUGUGGUUUUCUCAUGGUAACUGUUGUCUGGGAAAUAAUCCUGAGGCAAUGGUAGCUUCCAAAUACACUACCAGUCAGGCUGUUCCAGAUGUUGAAAGACAGAAAAUAUCACACACCAAAUUAAAACGAAUGAGUCACUCUAUCCACUAACUUAAACACAUAGGAAGAAGCAAUGGGAAAGAAAUGGGCAAGUUAACUUCUACAGAGCAGGCUUCAGGCUGGCGGAGGGCCCAUAUCUCCCUGAGUCUAGGGACACUGAUGAUGAUGAUAUGGUUAUGAGGACCCUGACUGAGGUUUGAGGGAGGGGUCCAUGGAUAGAAGGUGUUUUGGGCCAAAGAUACAUGCUUCCUCUAUGGGAGAGCAAGGUCAUCUGGCUACAGGCGUCUCUUGCACCUUAGCCUCCUGGACAGCCAUGGUUUUCAUGUACUUUUCUUGGAUUGUGUAUAUGUGGGACCAAAAUGGAGAAUAUGCUGAGUGUUACCAGUGGAUGGCUAAAUUUGGGUGACAGAGCUGUCAACUUGGAGGUGGCAAGAUCAUGAUUUGGUGCUUCUGUCCUUUCUGUCUAUAAACAUUUCUCUUUUUGUUGAAACGUGUUUUAUUUUAUUUAUUCCGUCUCUCCUUGGCAUGUCUUACAGCUCACUCACUCUCUUCUCGGCUCUGCCUGAGGUGCAGGAGCUUCCUGUUUACACAUCAUCCAUACUGAACAUUUUCCCUAUAUCUUGCAAACUACCAGCUUACCUACAGCUUAUGUUCAACCCUUUUUAUGAGUGCAUCCAACCUGUUUGUGUAUCUUGCCUUUAAGCAGAAUUAAAUAUUCUCAAAUACAUUCUCAGAUGAGUAUCAUCAAAUUUAUACGUGUGUUACAGUUAUGUGCUGUGAUAUACCCCAUGACUUCACUCCUUCCUCCUGUUAUAUCUGUCUCAGUCUGUUCUGUGUAACUGUAACAGAAUACCUGAGACUGGGUACUCUGUCCCAGAAAUUUACUGGAUCACAGUUCUGGGGGCCAGGAAGCCCAAGGUCAAGGUGAUGCAUCUGUGGAGGGCCUUCUUGCUGUACCAUCACAUGGUAGAAUAAGAAAGGAUGAGAGAGAGCUACAGGGGACUGAACUUGCCCCUUUUAGAGCAGCACAAAUCCCACUUAUGAGGGUGGAGCCCUCGGUCUAAUCCUCUCUGAAAGGUCCCAACUCUUAGUACUCUUUAAUACUCUUUUUUUUUUUUUUUUUUUUUUUUUUUUUUUGAGACAGAGUCUUGCUCUGUCACCCAGGCUGGAGUGCAGUGGCCCAAUGUCAACUCAUUGCAACCUCUGCCUCCCAGGUUCAACUGCUUCUCCUGCCUCAGCCUCCUGAGUAGCUGGGAUUACAGGUGUGUGCCACCACGCCCAACUAAUUUUUGGUUAAGUUCAAGGCUGGUCUAGAAUUCCUGACCUCAUGAUCCCCCUGCUUCAACCUCCCAAAGUGCUGGGAUUACAGGUGUGAGCCACCGCGCCUGGCGUUAAUACUCUUACAAUGACAAUUAAGCUUCAACGUGAGUUUUACAGGGGACAAACAUUCAAACCAAAGCAGCAUCUAUCAUCAGCCUUCCCUUUGACAGGCUCUUUUAUAUUUACCCUUCAAGACCCAAUUCUCGCAUCCCUGGGAAACUUCCUUGACCCUACCAGUCUGGAUGAGAAGCCCCAGAGAUAAUGUUUAUUUUGUCUACAUCUGUCAUGGUAUUUAAUCAUACUUUACUGUAACUUCAUGUUUACCAUUUCAUUCUCUCACAUUACACUGGGAACAGCUUUGAGUGGAAAUUUUAGUAGAAUCUUUUAUGUGUUGUUACUCUUAGUUAUCCCAGGCUGAGUUAUUCCCACGGUUGGAAUAUGAGGUUAUGAUGUUGACAACAAAUAGUAUAUUUCCAGUUUUGCCUUCACUUUGGAUUGCAAAUAUUCUGGUGUCACUUCAAGACUGUGUCUUCCCCCGAUAUUUUAAGAAAUCUCAAGUGGAUGUUUCACGUGUCUUCUUAGCACAGCCUUCUCAGCUCCCACCUGGGGUCAGUCAUCAAACUUCUUCUCUUCCCUUACCUCCUCAUGUCAUCUUCUGCUGCCGAUGCGAGUGCCCCAAGCGAGAAGAGAAAAGUGUGUUGGAAGCAUGUGCCUGUUCUGUAGCCUGUCUCCCCCUGUGCUCCUUCUGAAGGCAGGACGCAUCCUCACCAAUGCACUCUGAUGGUCCAAAGCCAUGCGCUGCCUCCAUGUUGCUAAACCGUGUGUGUUCCUUGAUGUGCCAUACAUAGCACCUUGGGUUCUCUGAUAUUUAGGGCAAAUACUCUGUCUUUAUUUUAUACUCUGUUUCAUGGACCAAGUUAAUUCUGCCUUAACUUGACGACAAAUUACAGAAAUUGUACACUGUGGAAUUGCUUUUCUUCCUGAAAUUUUUCUAGUCUGAAUUCUGUGUUGCUCUGCCUUAAAAAAAGAAAAAAAAAAAGGCUUCCUUCCCUGGGUCUUUUUCUUGUGCUUUUAUCAUCAACAAAAAACAGAAAUCCAAGGUCAGCACUGGCCUCCCAAUCUUUUCUAUAAAUACCUGUUUGAGAGUGUUCAUACAUUCAUUUCCCUUGAAUUACUACCUUUAUGAUGUUGGCUCCAAAUGCUUAAACCCUUAGCUUUGCCAUCUCAUUCAAGCACUGGCCAUGUUCUUAUUCUUGUCCACUUAUGCACAGAAGUUUUGAUGUUUGCCUGGUUCCAUGAAUUUCUCAAAUCCACAUUUAUAAUAUUUUAUUUGAAAACCAUCUGUCUCAGCCGGGCGUGGUGGCUCACGCCUGUAAUCCCAGCACUUUGGGAGGCCGAGGCGGGCGGAUCACGAUGUCAGGAGAUCAAGACCAUCCUGGCUAACACGGUGAAACCCCGUCUCUGCUAAAAAUACAAAAAAAUUAGCCAGGAGUGGUGGCGGGCGCCUGUAGUCCCAGCUACUCGGGAGGCUGAGGCAGGAGAAUGACGUGAACCCGGGAAGCAGAGCUUGCAGUGAGCUGAGAUCGAGCCACUGCACUCCAGCCUGGGCGACAGAGAGAGACUCUGACUAAAAAAAAAAAAAAAAAAAAAAAAAGAAAGAAAAUCAUCUGUCUCUACCUAUCUUUUGGUAGUGGUCUUCCAUAAACUUGGAAGAGAUCUGGAUAUAAUCUAACCAAUGCAAACUUCUCAAAUUAUACAGAAACCUUAUUUAUUUAUUUAUUCUAUUUUACCUGCUAACAUUGGAAAUCUAGCAGGUAUUUAAUAAGUA
This 5246-nucleotide long non-coding RNA is filed under the name Homo sapiens (human). Its description in RNAcentral is "HSALNT0375156". The record is from RNAcentral. Lineage: Eukaryota; Metazoa; Chordata; Mammalia; Primates; Hominidae.